GACGAACGCUGGCGGCGUGCUUAACACAUGCAAGUCGAACGGAAAGGCCCUGCUUUUGUGGGGUGCUCGAGUGGCGAACGGGUGAGUAACACGUGAGUAACCUGCCCUUGACUUUGGGAUAACUUCAGGAAACUGGGGCUAAUACCGGAUAGGAGCUCCUGCUGCAUGGUGGGGGUUGGAAAGUUUCGGCGGUUGGGGAUGGACUCGCGGCUUAUCAGCUUGUUGGUGGGGUAGUGGCUUACCAAGGCUUUGACGGGUAGCCGGCCUGAGAGGGUGACCGGCCACAUUGGGACUGAGAUACGGCCCAGACUCCUACGGGAGGCAGCAGUGGGGAAUAUUGCACAAUGGGCGGAAGCCUGAUGCAGCAACGACGCGUGCGGGAUGACGGCCUUCGGGUUGGAAACCGCUUUCGCCUGUGACGAAGCGUGAGUGACGGUAAUGGGUAAAGAAGCACCGGCUAACUACGUGC
Molecule: ribosomal RNA, 469 nt
Filed under: uncultured bacterium
Lineage: Bacteria
Description: partial 16S ribosomal RNA
Rfam family: Bacterial small subunit ribosomal RNA
Source: RNAcentral